CAUGAUGACAUCAUCAUCAAGAUGACAUCAUCAAGAUGACAUCAUCAACAGGAUGAUAUCAUCUAGAGGACGACAUCAUCAACAGGAUGACAUCAGGACGACAUCAUCAACAUAGUCAUUAAAUCUUCGCUCUGCACAACGUGCAGCGGGAGGGAGGGAGGAAAUGAUCCCACGACACUACGGCAUGAGAAUAUUUCAAACUACUCCUACUCAGUUGUCUCUGCACUCAGCCCUGUUGGCACAGGUGCGAUGAUGUAACUGACGACAGGACGGUAGAGGGUAAAUUUCUACCGUAGGCCAACAUCAUAUGGUUUCUACCGUCUACCGCAUAUAUCGCACAACCCUACAUCAACAUGACAACAUCAACAUGAUGACAUCAUCAACAGGAGGACAUCAUCAACUGGACAGGACGACAUCAACCACAUGACGACAUCAUCAACAUGACGGCAACAUCAACAGGACAGGACGACAUCAUCAACAUGACGACAUCAACAUGAUGAUAUUAUCAACAGAACAGGACGACAUCAUCAACAUGACAGGACGACAUCAUCAACAUGACGGCAACAUCAACAGGACAGGACGACAUCAUCAACAUGACGGCAACAUCAACAGGACAGGACGACAUCAUCAA
Molecule: long non-coding RNA, 631 nt
Organism: Austrofundulus limnaeus
Lineage: Eukaryota; Metazoa; Chordata; Actinopteri; Cyprinodontiformes; Rivulidae
Exons: 3
Source: RefSeq, a predicted model, not a curated record